AGGCGAUGAUUAAAGAGAAUAUUUGCUAUCUGAGAUAGCCAUGCUGCAGGAAAAUUCUACCACCAAAAUCUCUGAGCCU
Liolophura sinensis is the source of this 79-nucleotide small nucleolar RNA. RefSeq annotates it as small nucleolar RNA SNORD24. The transcript has a single exon. NCBI's taxonomy places the organism in Eukaryota, Metazoa, Mollusca, Polyplacophora, Chitonida, Chitonidae. The record is from RefSeq and is a predicted model, not a curated record.